This 724-nucleotide long non-coding RNA is filed under the name Mus musculus (house mouse). Its description in RNAcentral is "predicted gene 14207". Lineage: Eukaryota; Metazoa; Chordata; Mammalia; Rodentia; Muridae. The record is from RNAcentral.
GAGCAGUCCUUAGAGAUCGUCUGCUUAAAGGCUGAGACCCUCGCCACCAGAGGAUAGGAGGGUAGCCCAGUGAUGCGGCGGGAGGUGAGACUUUAGGUAGCUCCUGCCUCGCUGGCCUCCAGCCUAUGUGUGCCCACCCUCCACGCGUCCCCAGCACCGCAGGGAAGCCAUCCGACGCCUUAACCUUUCCCUGGCUAUUCCAAGCAAGGCAAAGGGCCAAGCGUCUAGGACUCUGGUCUUCUCUGCACCUGGCAACAUGAAGACAACCAGAGGCCACCUCGGGGGCGGGGCACAAAUGAAAUUCACGGGUAGAGGAAAAGACAGAGGACACACUCCUAAGGGAAGAGGCAAUAGGAGCAGAACGGAGGAGGGGAAAGAGCAGAGCGUGAAAAGUCAAGGUUUCGGGGCCUUUUUUGGUAGGAGGCCUGUGAUAAGGUUCUUGACUGAACAACCUGGCCUAGAGAAAACCUUCCCACUGAGACAACUCUCCUGCUGGAGGGUAGUCUUUCAGAGCAGCGGCCUGCAGAAAGGAAGAGAUGUCAUCCUUGAAUGGAUCUAAUCAGAGAGGGUGCUGGCCUCAGAGAGAGGGGGGGCGCGGGGGCGCGCUCGGCUUUUCCUCAUACCUCUGAGAGACCCUACUUCCUGGGUUCACUGUCCACUGUCUGGUUGCUCAUGCCUGAUGACUCAACAUAUGCCAAAUAAAGGAUACCCAAGUGGGCAGGAU